AUGCAUGUCUAAGUUCACACUGUUCCACGGUGAAACCGCGAAUGGCUCAUUAAAUCAGUCGAGGUUCCUUAGAUGACACGAUCCUACUUGGAUAACUGUGGCAAUUCUAGAGCUAAUACAUGCUUCUGACGCUCCGACCCUUCCGUGGAAAGAGCGCGUUUAAUAGUUCAAAACCAAUCGGGCUGUCCGCGUCUUCGGGCGUGGCGCCCGUCCCCUACUGGUGACUCUGGAUAACUUUGUGCUGAUCGCAUGGCCUCGCGCCGGCGACGCAUCUUUCAAAUGUCUGCCCUAUCAAAUGUCGAUGGUGCGUGAUAUGCCUACCAUGUUCGUAACGGGUAACGGGGAAUCAGGGUUCGAUUCCGGAGAGGGAGCAUGAGAAACGGCUACCACA
Molecule: ribosomal RNA, 391 nt
Filed under: Telodiacria quadridentata
Lineage: Eukaryota; Metazoa; Mollusca; Gastropoda; Pteropoda; Cavoliniidae
Description: SSU rRNA
Rfam family: Eukaryotic small subunit ribosomal RNA
Source: RNAcentral